AACAGCCUCUCUACCCAAGGGGUAGGGGUAAGGUCUGCGUACACACUACCCUCCCCAGACCCUACUAAGUGGGAUUAUCCUGGGUUGUUGUUGUUGUUGAUGAAUCUAAGUGCACAGAGAUGUAUGCAGAAUCAAAAUAAUACUAAUUGCUUGGAUUUUGAGACCAAGCAAAUUUAUGAGAAGCGUUACAGGAGAAUAGGACAUCCAAUUACCGCAAAGAAGAUGAGCAUUUUGACCAACUAUAACUGGCGAUAUAAUAAAACAAUACCUUGUCGAGCAAC
This 281-nucleotide long non-coding RNA is filed under the name Nicotiana benthamiana. RNAcentral's name for it is "long non-coding RNA (NBEN_LNC001592)". The record is from RNAcentral. Lineage: Eukaryota; Viridiplantae; Streptophyta; Magnoliopsida; Solanales; Solanaceae.